Felis catus (domestic cat) is the source of this 575-nucleotide long non-coding RNA. RefSeq lists it as uncharacterized. The transcript has 3 exons. The record is from RefSeq and is a predicted model, not a curated record. Lineage: Eukaryota; Metazoa; Chordata; Mammalia; Carnivora; Felidae.
UCUCUGCAUUCCGGCAGCUCCAACUGCCAUUCCUAGGAUUCAGAGCCCUCAGGAGGAGGACAGAUGAAGGCUGUGCCGGGCACGGUGACAGGGCUCCAUCUCGUCCCAGUAUAUCCUGGCAAUUGUUCCCUACCGGUGCAUAAACAGCAACCUGGGCCCUCCCCAGCCAAGUUUGUUCCAAUGGAGUUUUAAGUUCUUCUCUGCUCCUGGUCAUCAAGUAUUUUCCUCCGUCACCUUUAUAGUUUUUCAGAGGAUGCUGAAUCCAUCAGAGAAACCUUGUCCAACAGAACUCAGAUCAUGGAAAGCUUUCAUAUCUAUACCAUCAAAUUAGUAGCACUGGUUAGAAGUGGCAAUUGAGGAUGUCAAAUGUGGCUACUGCAGCCACAGCACUGAACGCUUCAUUUUGCUUCAUUAAUUAAAAAAAUUAAAUAGCCAUAUGUGGUUAGUGGCUACCGCCCCGGACAGCACAGAUCUAGGGUUUUGUUGUGGUGUUAGGUAUGGAUUCAGUUUUCUUUUAUCUCCAGAAAAUGAACCAAUUUCCCCAACACUAUUAUUAAACUAUCUAUUUUUCCCUC